CCUACGGGUGGCAGCAGUAGGGAAUAUUGCUCAAUGGGGGAAACCCUGAAGCAGCAACGCCGCGUGGAGGAUGAAGGUUUUCGGAUUGUAAACUCCUUUUGUUAGAGAAGACAAUGACGGUAUCUAACGAAUAAUCACCGGCCAACUCCGUUCCAGCAGCCGCGGUAAUACGGAGGGCGCAAGCGUUAUUCGGAAUCACUGGGCGUAAAGGGCGCGUAGGCGGGAUAGCAAGUCAGAUGUGAAAUCCUUUGGCUUAACCAUAGAACUGCAUUUGAAACUGUUAUUCUAGAGUAUGGGAGAGGUAGGUGGAAUUCUUGGUGUAGAGGUGAAAUCCGUAGAGAUCAAGAGGAAUACUCAUUGCGAAGGCGGCCUGCUAGAACAUAACUGACGCUGAUGCGCGAAAGCGUGGGGAGCAAACAGGAUUAGAUACCCUAGUAGUC
RNAcentral lists this ribosomal RNA (440 nucleotides) under uncultured bacterium. Its description in RNAcentral is "partial 16S ribosomal RNA". It matches the Rfam family "Bacterial small subunit ribosomal RNA", at positions 338 to 795 of the family's 1533-position model. The record is from RNAcentral.